RNAcentral lists this ribosomal RNA (950 nucleotides) under uncultured bacterium. RNAcentral's name for it is "bacterial SSU rRNA". It matches the Rfam family "Bacterial small subunit ribosomal RNA", at positions 8 to 916 of the family's 1533-position model. The record is from RNAcentral.
AGAGUUUGAUCCUGGCUCAGAACGAACGCUGGCGGCGUGGCUAAGACAUGCAAGUCGAACGGUACGUUGUAGCAAUAUGACGUAUAGUGGCGAACGGGUGAGUAAUGAAUAGGGUAAUGUACCCUGGGCACAGGGAUACCGCCGGGCCCCGCAAGGGGUCCUUUGCGAAAGUGGCGUUAAUACCUGAUGACAUCCUCGGGCGGCAUCGUCCGAGGACCAAAUGAUGGGGACCGCAAGGCCUAUUGGCCUGGGAACAGCCUAUUUCCUAUCAGCUAGUUGGUGAGGUAACGGCUCACCAAGGCUGCGACGGGUAGCGGGACUGAGAGGUCGGCCCGCCACAUCGGGACUGAGACACUGCCCGGACACCUACGGGUGGCUGCAGUAACGAAUAUUCCGCAAUGGGCGAAAGCCUGACGGAGCGACGCCGCGUGGAGGACGAAUUCCUUCGGGAUGUAAACUUCUUUUGGGGUGAAGAAACCAAAGGGCGAUAAUACCGCUCUGCGUUGAUCGAUCCCCGAAUAAGCCUGGGCUAACUCCGUGCCAGCAGCCGCGGUAAGACGGAGCAGGCAAGCGUUGUUCGGAAUCACUGGGCUUAAAGCGCGUGUAGGCGGCCCGGCAAGUACCUUGUGAAAGCCCUCGACUCAAUCGAGGAACUGCUCGGUAUACUGCCAGGCUUGAGGCGGGUAGGGGUGCUUGGAACUCUAGGUGGAGCGGUGAAAUGCGUAGAGAUCUAGGGGAACGCCUGUGGCGAAAGCGGAGCACUGGGCCUUGCCUGACGCUGAGACGCGAAAGCGUGGGUAGCAAACGGGAUUAGAUACCCCGGUAGUCCACGCCGUAAACGAUGCGCACUAGGUUUGUUGGCUUCUGACGGUCAGCGAGCCGAAACAAAAGCGUUAAGUGCGCCGCCUGGGGAGUACGGCCGCAAGGCUAAAACUCAAAUGAAUUGACGG